CGGGAUGUAGCUCAGUUUGGCUAGAGCACCUGCUUUGGGAGCAGGGGGCCGCAGGUUCAAAUCCUGUCAUCCCGACCA
Molecule: transfer RNA, 78 nt
Filed under: Moorella sp. E306M
Lineage: Bacteria; Bacillati; Bacillota; Clostridia; Neomoorellales; Neomoorellaceae
Description: tRNA-Pro
Rfam family: tRNA
About the family: Transfer RNA (tRNA) molecules are approximately 80 nucleotides in length. Their secondary structure includes four short double-helical elements and three loops (D, anti-codon, and T loops). Further hydrogen bonds mediate the characteristic L-shaped molecular structure. tRNAs have two regions of fundamental functional importance: the anti-codon, which is responsible for specific mRNA codon recognition, and the 3' end, to which the tRNAs corresponding amino acid is attached (by aminoacyl-tRNA synthetases). tRNAs cope with the degeneracy of the genetic code in two manners: having more than one tRNA (with a specific anti-codon) for a particular amino acid; and 'wobble' base-pairing, i.e. permitting non-standard base-pairing at the 3rd anti-codon position.
Source: RNAcentral